RNAcentral lists this ribosomal RNA (254 nucleotides) under uncultured bacterium. RNAcentral describes it as "partial 16S ribosomal RNA". It matches the Rfam family "Bacterial small subunit ribosomal RNA", at positions 524 to 776 of the family's 1533-position model. The record is from RNAcentral.
UACGUAGGGGCCUAGCGUUGUCCGGAUUUAUUGGGCGUAAAGAGCUCGUAGGCGGUUUGGUCAGUCAGGUGUGAAAUCUCCACGCUCAACGUGGAGGGGCCACCUGAUACUGCCAUGACUUGAGUCCGGUAGGGGAGUGUGGAAUUCCCGGUGUAGCGGUGAAAUGCGCAGAUAUCGGGAGGAACACCCGUAGCGAAGGCGGCACUCUGGGCCGUGACUGACGCUGAGGCGCGAAAGCUAGGGGAGCAAACGGG